AGAUUAAUGUCAGACCGGGCAAGACACGAACAGUUGGCGAGACAACGCUUGGAAGAACGUAAAAAUAGAAAGAAACAGAAAGCACUAAGUGACGGCGAUGUUGUUAAAGAAGGCGACAACGGUCAACUGCAAGAAGCUGUUCUGAAAUUCUUGGAAAACAAACAUUGCGAGGAGAGAGAGGUUCUGGUAAAGUUACUCGAGAGCGAAGAAAACAAUCUUCAUGAUCUUGCCCAGUCGAUGACAUCUGAACAGCGGGAAGAACACGUUCGUAAUCUUAAACUGAAGAAAAAUUCUUUGAACAAAGGUUUGAAGACAAAUUAAAUUUUUAACUCCCUUUUCAAAUGGCAGAACUCCCCUUCACAAAUGCAAGAACUCCCUUUUCAAAUGCCAGAACCCCCUUUUCAAAUGCCAGAACUUGGUUUUCAAAUGCCAGAACUCCCUUUUCAAAUGCCAGAACUUGGUUUUCAAGUGCCAGAACGCUUCAAAUGGCAGAACUUGGUUUUCAAAUGCCAGAACUCCGUUUUUAAAAGCCAGAACUCCGUUUUCAAACGCUAGAACUCCCUUUUCAAAUGGCAGAACUUGGUUUUCAAACGCCAGAAUUCCAUAAUCUCUGCCAUGUCACUCAGAAUAAUACAAAAGGCAUGCAUGUCUUACUGUAGCAUGUCUUACUGUAGUGUAUUGGUCCAGUGUUACUGCAGGAGAAGACCUAAACUAAACUAAACUAACUUAAGUUUACUUCUACUGGAUAUGUUCUUUUCUAAACCAUAUGCUUUCUGACUUCAUUCUCAGAUGACGCUGACCUACAUCGC
Paramuricea clavata is the source of this 809-nucleotide non-coding RNA. The record is from the annotation of a GenBank genome assembly. NCBI's taxonomy places the organism in Eukaryota, Metazoa, Cnidaria, Anthozoa, Malacalcyonacea, Plexauridae.